Molecule: long non-coding RNA, 692 nt
Organism: Lutra lutra (Eurasian river otter)
Lineage: Eukaryota; Metazoa; Chordata; Mammalia; Carnivora; Mustelidae
Exons: 6
Source: RefSeq, a predicted model, not a curated record
ACAUUGCAGAGCACCGAUUUACUCAGCUGGUUGUAUUUCCUGAGGAUGUGAUUCAUCAUAUCCAGGAGACAGGGAAAGAACAACAUUUGAAAACUCACUUAAGAAGGGGUGGAUAAAACACGAUUCUUUCUGACAAACCUGUCUUUUAUGAUAUGCUGAGGAGGUUUCUGGCAUUUCUUCUCGGGCAGAGGGAGGUGAAGGUGAAGAGACAAGUAGAAGACAGAGAUCAGCGAGAUGCAAGGUCUGCUUCAGCUCCCUGGCGACACUAAUGGGUGCGUUGCUGAGGAAAUGAAGAACGUCACAUUCAAAACCUCAUUUCCUCUCUUAACUACAAGGGAUUUUAGCAUCAAAGGACUUCAUACCCAGACCUCAACCUUGUAAAAACUCAGCCUGCAAAGGAAACCAGCAGGGGGCGCUGCUACCCUUUCUAAGACUCUUUUGGCUUGCACGGCCUUCUGAUGCCCAGCAGAGGGGCCAGCUGCAAGCCCUGAUGGGGGAAACGGAGGAGGAAAGGCGUUUCAGGAGGCACUCUGAGGCCGAAGGAUAGCAGCGGCAAGGAAAGCAGACAUUCCCCUCAGGCUUGGUUUUUGGCAGCAUCUCUAAGUCAUGUGAUAUGCUUGAGGCUACCAGCAGUGCAAGGGAACUUUGAUGAAAAUGAAGAGAGAAGUCACUUCUAGAUCAAGUUCCUGGAU